Long non-coding RNA from Homo sapiens (human), 13092 nucleotides. RefSeq lists it as uncharacterized. NCBI's taxonomy places the organism in Eukaryota, Metazoa, Chordata, Mammalia, Primates, Hominidae. The record is from RefSeq and is a predicted model, not a curated record. The transcript has 2 exons.
CCUAAUAAGAAUCAGUAUUAUAGUGAAGGUUAGUAGCUUUCAAGUGUGAUCACAGCUACUUUACUUGUUCUUUCAUUUGCUUGGUUGACAUCUAAGUGCUUUUAUUUUUACUUAUGCAACUUCCAAGGAAUUAUUUGAAUAUUAAACAAUUUGUACCUGCCUUCCUCCCAAAAGGAUCUGAGAGAAGGUGGCUCCGUUUACAGCCAGAUUGCUUAUGUCAAUCUGAAAAAUUGUGCACCAUCUAAUCCCACAGUUGGGCAGAAUAAAAAGAGUAGCUGAGCACAAAUAGAUAUUGAGAUGCUUUCUUGCUUUUCAUAAGUCAUGAAUUUAUAGUAUUGGCCUCAUUAUUUGGUUUGAAGAUAAGUGAAUUCCUAGAAAUUCAGAGACUGUAAUAAUCAAGUACAAAAAGCACAUUCUUAAAGCUAAAUAAUUUGUAGACUAAAUAUCUCUAGGUAUUAUUCACAUCUCUUUUUCAUUAGAGAACCGUCAUGGGUUCAUCAGAUAUAUAUACAUUAAAUAAAUUUUAAUUUUUUUACCUAAGCAAACACAAGAGUUAUACUACUAAAAAUAUUUAAAGGGAAUGAUACAAUUCUAUGUUAAGGCAUCUAAAUAACUACCAUUUAUCCAUGAAGUUGGGUGUUUGAAUAUUUAUUAGAUCAGUGUCCUAGUUUUUCUAGCAUAAUACUUACUCCCAGAGAUCUGAUUAGAUUAGAGCUAUGUUAUUUAAGAUGAAUGAUUUGAAAACAUUAGUGACUGUUACCAGGGUAACCAGAUGCGAAUUGCUCUGAUUAAAUAUUUGUUGUUUAAAUUUCAUAUUCCAGAUUGCUAACAGAUGCAGUUAUUCAAAAAAAAUUUUAAUGGUACUUGGUAAAUUAUAAACUUAAAAACCAACUAAUUACAGUUCAAAGACUAGUCUGUGUAGAAAAAGCAUUUUGAAAUUAGGGGAAAUAGCUAUUUUUAGUGUUUUCACUCAAUUUAUUCUUAAUCAGGAUCGUUUUCAGAAGCAAGAUUAUAUAUAGUAACUAGUAGACUAGGUUUAGAAAAGUGAAAAAGUCUUCACUAUUUUUAGAGACAUUUGAAGUUUUGAUUUUGGAAUGAGUUAUAAUUUUCAGUUACAGAGUUACUAAGAACUUUAAAAACUGGUAAAAAGGAAAUUAAAAUGUGAAUUCAGCAAUAUCAUGAAAAUUAAAUAACACUUAUAGUUUUGACAGGAUAAAAAGGAAAUACAUUUGUGAUUAUUACCUGUUCCCACUCCAUUCCCACUGGGCAUCCCACUGGGUUUGGGCCUAGUAGGUCUUGUAGUUGUCCUAUUCAGAACUAAAAUAAAGUGGGAUAUAAAUAGUUCAUUUUCUUAUUGAAAGUUUGCAGCCGAGAAAAACAAAAUUUCUCAGAGAAUUGAAAGUCAUUUAGGCAAUAAAAAAGAUGACUUACCAAAAAUAUUAUUCAGAAUAUAGAAACCACAGUCUCGUAUAAAAAUAAUAGACUUGAAUUUGAAAAUAGAGACCUGAAUUUGUAUUCUGAGGUGAUCACUGGGCUUCAAUACUUGACUUGAAAAAGUAACUGGCAAGGGAAUUUAUAAUCCGAAGUGGGAAAGAUCUUGUUUCAUUUAUAGGCAUUAGAUACAUUCCAAAAUGGAACUGAAGAAAGAUCAGGACUACAUAUGUCUAAUGAAAAACCAAAAUCUGAAAUGUAUUUGUCAAGGCCUCCAUUCAUAAGUUGGAGUCUUUCCACAUCCUUUUGUGGGAAUCCCUAGGUACAGAGGUUUCAUUAUACUAGUCCUUUCACAAAGUCCAUUGCCAAGCACAGAACUUGAUGAAACCAUUUUACUUUCUUUCCUGCUUGGGAGAAAGUCAUAGCCUUACCAAAGCCUUGAGAGGUGAUCUAUUUUAUAACCCAUUUAGAAGAUUCUUUAAGGAGGAGCACUAAGUGUACUGUGCUUAUGUGAGAAGCUCUGGAGCCAUACUGCUCAUCUUUUGAUCCACUUUCUAGUUCCUCUGUGUGCCUCAGCUUCCUCAACUGUACCUCACAGGGCACAUGGCCAGUGCUCGGUCAUUAUUAGCCAUGAUUGUUACUACUUAGUUUUUAGAAAUGUUUAAUAUAACCAGUCUCACAUUAAGCUCUCAACACCUAUCAUGACACACAAAGUCAGAGAGAAAUACACAUGGUUAUAGAAGAUUUCUGUGCCCAAUUAUCUUUAGAAGUUGGAAAAUUAUAACAAAAUAUAUGGACUCUACAUAAACCAAAUAAUAUAAAAUUAUUGUUAUAAAGAUGCAUUCCCCGAGAACAUUCAUUCGUAGCAGGUUUCAUCAUUUGGAACUUUAAGAGUCCUUAGAAUCACAAAGAAAAAGAAAAUGAAACACCAGUGUGUGGUCCAACUUGUGCCUCAGCAUAAGAGUGAUUUACAUGAACUAGAUCAACCCCUGCAAGUUAACUUUUUUUCUGAACAAGCUCCAAUGAGGGUAAUCCUAGGACCUUUGGAGAAUUUAGUAAAUUUAACGUAUUUCCCAAUAUAUAACUAUUUUUGCUGUUUAUAACUUGUGAUAUUUUUAUUCUCUGAAGGAAUCAAGUAAAAAUGUUCUCCCAGAACAAGAGCUUUCCUGUGCUGAAAAGAGACCCUCUUUUCUUCAGAGAGAAAGAAUAUCUGAAAAAAUGACAGAAAAUGACAUCUGGUGCCCUGCCUAUCAAAAGAGGACAAGCAAGGAGCAAGAACUCAGAUAAUCCCUGGGCCAAUUAUCCAGGACCUGCACAGAAAGGCAUCCUAAUGAAGACUUGCUGAAGGAAUGAAUAAGUGGGUGACCAUUGUAUGCAGGCAAACUUGUGAGAACCUGCUGAGAUAUUAAUGCAUCCUAAGGUUUUAAGGUAAGCAUUCAUCCUGGAAUUCAUCUAUUCCAUGCUGCUUCUCCUGUCCCCACUUCCCUAUCACAUACUGCCUCCUGCCACCAGCUUUCUUGGUAAUGUUUUUGGAAAAAUUUUUUCUUGCAAACUUUGUAAGUAGAUUACAUCAUUUUAAUGAUUUUAUUCACAUAUUGAGUGGAUAUUUAUAUAGCCAUAAAUCAGCAAUGCCUUGCCUACUAAGUUAAAAAAGUAUGCCUGUGAAAUUGGUUAUAAUGUAGCUCAUUUAUAAACUUCCAAUGUAAAGACUGUGAUGAGCAGAAUUUUGCCAUACUUCAAACCAACAACAGCGGACACACACUGAAAUUCUCUAUAGGUUUAUUUUGGGCCUUCCCAAGUAUAAUAACCAUAAAAAUUAAUUCUCACAGACCCUAAAGUGCCUGAUGAUUAUUUGCAAUUUUUUUCUUCCAAGUUUGAGAUGGUGGGAUUCCCUGUUAAUUUAGCCUAUUUCUUCUUUCCACAUAAAUCCCUUUGAAUGUUAGGUUGCUUCUGCUUAAAAAAGAUAAGAAUCAUAGUUCUUGUCUCAUUCUAGAAUAUGUAUAAAUUUUAAGACUUUGGACAGGAAAGAGAUUGAGAGUAGACCACAGAAAUAAUCAGCACUACAUGAUUUCAAAGCCAUGGCAUCUGAAUUUUUGUUUUAGUUUUCUCCAUAGUCUUCAUUUAAGUCUAGAAAGAAUUUUUUUAUAAAAGAGCUUAAAUAUAAUUUAAGUUUAGGUUGUAACUUACUCAUAUAGCUCAUCACCAAACAAUAUAUGGCCUUGAGGGUUUCAAUUUUAAACAUAGUACAAGAGCUAAGGAUAUAAGAAAAAAGUCAGCAUGUACAAAUAUGUUAAGACAAUUUAUAUAAUGAUAUGAGAUCAUGGAUAUACUCCCAAUAACAGGUGAAAUUUAUAUUUAAUACAAUAUUUUGAAGGAAUUUGAUUAAAAUUCCAUAUAUACUAGUAAUGGUGACACAAUAUUCUCUUUAAAGUAGGAAAAGGCAAAACGAGGAAAGAACAGGCCUGUGAUCUUUUAUCCUCAUUCUGAAAUCCUUAAAUCUCUAAAAAGCUGAAAUCUUUCUCAUUUGGCAACACAACCUGUGUGGAAUGAAAGUCUUUAUUUAUCCUGCUUGUUGUAAAUAUUUAUGUAUUUUGUGGUAAAAACAGAUUGAUUAUGAGAAUCCAGCUAUCUUCUCUUAAGCCAGAAAUUAAAGAGAUUUGCAAAAACAUGAAAUAAUAAACAUACAGAAAUCAGGGUGGAAUAGGGAUGUAUCACAACGGAACAUCUGUUCAUUGCUGAGGCUGGUAAUAGAGAUGUGAGAGGGCUGUCAAUAUGUUAUACUUCAGACUUCUGUGUGUAAUUAUAAAUUAACAGCAAAUAAAAAUUAAAUGAAGUAAUUGAAUAAAAGUUUAAAACGUAACAAAAAGUUAAACCAAACAAACAAUAAAAAAGAUUUAGAAAAUUUAGAGGAACUGCCCUUUACUAUAGUCUUUCUUAGUCACGUUUACUUGUAAUAAAUAUUGCCCCAGUGACACAUGUACUUUAAAAUGAGAUUUCUUUCAUUAUCAUUUCCUCUUAUUAUCAAACUUCUCCCACCAACUUUCCCCCUCAAAUUAGAACUCAUAAUGGGCAACAUACAUUUAUUUGUGUUCUAACUCCCUAAAUGUUUGCUGGUUUUGGUCUUAUUUUUGGCUUUCUACCAUCUGAUAGAGGCAGAGAUGGGCAAAAGGGGUAUUAGCAGUCCACAAGUGUUAUAACCUAAGUAGGAUAGUAGGAUAGAAAAGUGUAAAGAGGAAAAGACUUCUGAGUGCAUGAAGAUGAGAUAGAGCUUUGUGUAGGCGAGUUCACUUCCCCAAAAGCAGAAAAUCACAGAGAAGAAAUAAAAAGUAGGAAAUCACUUCUCUGGAUGUUUAAAUAUUGUCAUAAUUUUGAAAAAUGAUUUUUCUUUUUAAUAGCUUUUUUCUUAUUAAUGUAUUUCAUCAAAUGGGGGAAGAUUGGAGAAAGUGAGAAAAGGAGAGAAGAGAAGGAGGAGGACCAGGAGGAAGUUAGAGAGGGAGCAGGAAGAGGAAGACAACAGUUAUUAUUUAUCAGAUAUGGAAAACGAGGCAAAUGAAGGUCAAAUGUGUGGAAAAAAUGGGAUCUUCCACUCUUAGUUAUAAGCAUCAAGUAGUCAACAAUACAUUAAAAAAAGUAAGUGCCAGUGAAAGAACUGGUCUUGCCUACAUUCAAUUGAUAUUCAUAUGAGUAUUCAGAUUUGGCUGAUUUCUUUCACCUAUAAAAUGACAAAAAAAGUCAAGUAAUCCACUGUGUUGAGAAAUGACAUUCUGAAAGAAAAUUUCUUUCCUGAUUAAAAGCAAAUAAGGAAAAGUUAUUCUCCAGAGGUAGGGGAGAGGAUUACCCUGAGUUGUCUUUGCUAGUUCAGUUGUUCGUGGAAUCUUAGUUGUGAAAGGUUCUUGGGUGGAUUGGUCUGUUUCUUCUAGAGAAAACACAGUAAGAUUGCUUGUUUUAAAUAAUUAACAUUAUGAAUAUGACCAAAAAAACCCAUACUCUUUUCUGUCCCAUGCAAUAAUAAAAGGAUAAGUUGCAUUUAGAAAUACACUCAGUAAUCACAAUAAUUCAAAGUUAGUGGUACAUUUUAAUAACUCUCAUUUAUGAUAUCUGCUGUUUUACACUAUUAUUUUAAUGAUUGUUAUAAGGAUUUCCAAAAGCUUUUAGCUCAGGAUCAUUGUAUCAUUAAUCUAGUUGUGGCUAUUCUUGGAUAUGGCUCAUGUAUGAAAGUCUCCUAGUUGCCUCGAUGUAUUUAUCUCCUUCAUGUUUCUUUCCUGCCCAUAAAUCUCACAUGUUAUUUUGAUGAGCUGGAAAGGAAGUAUAUCAUAUGAAAAGAUGUAUAUUUACAUCACAUAAAACAAAUAUUCUAUUUUUCUCAUGUGAAAAUCAGAGCGUAUGUUUGACAUACAAACACAAUCCUCUUGACAAAAUAAAAAAAAUACAUACAGCAAUACUCCCAUUCCCAUGUUACCUUGAAAUCAUAUAUUAUAUAGACACAGCAAAUUACACUGUUCACUUUGCCCAUAUUGGAUCCAAGGAAAUACUUGGUAUAAAUGAUACACUGCUAUCUUUUUGUUUUCUGUCCUGCUUUUGUAUUCUCUUGAUUCUGCUCAAGAAAUACACUUGUGAUAAUUGACAGGCAAUGGUUCUGAUGUGAAUAAACCAAGACACAUUAGAAAAAUAGGGAGUAGAAGUUAAAUAAUUAGCAUAUUCAGUAGUGGUUUUUGAAAAGUACUUUUAACUUUGCCAUCAUGGGCACUAUUGAUUUUGCAGAAAUAAGCUAGAUUAGAUGAAUAUUUGAUUAGAAUAUAUUUGCUCAAUUUUAAUUUUUCUUCCAAAAGGAUUUUAUUUUAAAAUGUGAUCAGUAACUUUAUUUCAGUAGAUACCCACAAAGGAUGGAUUAUUAGAAAAGGAAUGAAGGGAGACAAAUAGGGCCACUGACUUAAACAAAGCCAUAUGGGAUGCAAUGUAGACAGGAGAGAGGAGCCAACAAACACAAGCCAGAACUUUAGCUUUUUGGUUCAUUUUCAACCAAGAGGCAGGCAAACUGGAGUUUCCCACACAGCACAUUUGUGUUGAACUCCUUGAAAGCAUGUUCAGCUCAUCCCAGUGGACCUUUCCAACUUACCCAUCCUUGUUUCUCCAGGCAACUACCUGCUUAUCAGUUUAGUCUAACUGUCAUUCCUUGCCCUGUGCCUCUUUCCCAUCUGUCCGUAACUUCAAAGAACCAUUUGCAUCUUUGACUGGUCAACUUUCAUUCCAACUUGAAGACCCAGUGUAAAUGACCCUAAUCUGAGAGGCCUUUCCUUAUUUCUCCAGGUAGUUUGUUUGUUCAACAUGUUGCUCUUUUCUCUAUCACACUCAUUGUAAUUAGUAUAACAUUGAUGUUAAUCCUAGGCACCCUGUCGGCUGAGUGUGUAGAUUCUAAUCCUGGCUCUGACACCAGCUGUUUCACCUUGGCCAAACUUUUAAACCCUCUACGCCUCAAUUUUCUAAUCUGUAAAAUGGAACAAGUAAUAGAACUUACUUCACAGAGUUACAUGGUUUACAUUUUAAAAAGGCAUGUAGUGUAUUGGGUGGCACAGAGGCUGCAGUAUUAUAACCAAGUCCUGUCUUCAUAUUAGAGGGUGAGCCCUCUAGUGUAAGGACUCCUCUUUAAAAGUUUCUUGUUAGAACUGCAUCACCUAACAGUGCACCCAGUAAAGGCUUAAUAAAUACUAGAUAAGUAAUUUUUCUUCCCAAAUGCAGUUUAAAAUACAGAAAAAGCAACAAAAAAGAACAGCAUUGAUUUAGGAACAUUUUUCUUUUUAGAAUACUUAAAAUUCUUAAGUAUUCUAAAUCACACUUAAUCACCAGAGCCAAUUUAACACAUCUUAGAUGUGUUAAAACAUUCUCAUUUUAUAUUGAAAAUCAGCAUAAAUAUUAGGACAAAUACACAGUUAAUGUAAAAGUAUUGAGUGAAAUGGAUUUUUAAAUAACCUAUUAUUUAGAAAAAAUCUGUGAACAUAAUGUAUUAUGGUUACUUUAAGGGAAAUUCCUAAAAGGCAAGCUCUCUUUGAACAAAUAUUAAAACGAAAUUUACCCAGAGUGGUCUGUAGUUCCUCUUGACUAGGACUUGGGGAAAUCAUGGGUAUAAAAGGGAUGCCUCGUGUCUCUAGAGGAGCUGCAAAAAGAAAAGGACCAAGGUUGUAAAUUUUUAGAUUCAAAGCCAGCACCAGACCAGAUUGGUAUUACAUGAAAUUCCUUCAUUUGAAGUAGAAAAAGGAAAGAAGAAAGUUAAGUGUGCACACGACUUUCAGAAAAAUGACUGCGGAAUAUUAGAAAAAUGGUUCUCAACUGUUUUUCCACCAGGACACAUACUACAUGACAUUCUGUUCUUGAACCAAUCCAUCAGAAUGGCUGGUUGAGAUGGGGUGUGGGUUAGACACAGUCCUGGACUAUUGGCUGUAGCUCUGUCCCUCUCUCCCCCGUUCAAGAGAGCAUGCAUGAUUACCAAAUGAGUGAGAAUAUCAUCAUUGUUGGUAUCAUCUCCUUGAGUCUGCUUGAGUAGACUCAAGUAACAAAUCACUGGGAAUUUUCAGUAUUUUGACCAAUAUUGAUAAUUACUUGCAGUAUCUUUCAAACUUACCACAUACUAGUAUGUUACAUUACAGCUGAGAACCACUAAACCAAUGGAAAUUGUUAAAUGGGCACCAUUAGUAAACAUACUGGACUCAUUUUGAAACAUGGAGAUAGAUGAAGUAAAUGAAGAUGUAUUCAGUAAUGUCUUAAGGUGGUCUUCAAAGCAAACCCAUUACAACACUGAAAUAAUUGCUUUUCUGUUUUGGAAAGAGUAAUAAUAAUGAGAAUGAAAUGAUGAAUGGAUUGAGAAGAAAUGAUGUUUCAACAGGAUCAUUUGAGAAAGGCCUGCAAUCUUGAUGGUAGCAAAGAAAACAGAGUUGGUCAAUAUGGGAAAACCAUUACCUAUUGUUGUCUUUGGUGGCUCAAAUCUAAAGGUAACAGGCUGCAGAACUAUGCCAAAAGCAAGCCAAAGGAACAUAUUUAUGAGAAUUACUACCUGGCAAAGUCAAAAUAGUUUCCUUAUUUUUUAGAUGCAUUGAUUUAAUAAUUUAAAUGUUCUCUAAGAAUUGUAAUAAAUAAGAGAAAAUUCUUCACAUUAGAUGCCAAUCAGAGAACUUAGUUUAACUAAAACUUUGAAGUUCUCAUUCACUGUCACUUUGGGGAAAAUUUCGAGUAGGCACCCACUUUUUUUUACUUAAAAGUACAUCCAUAGUUGUAAUGUAGCUACAUUUACAUUUUGAAAGGAUAUAAGCGUUGGCUUAGUUAACAAUGAUAUUUAUAAUUUUAGCGUGAUCUACUCAAUGAACCUAUAUACUAUUCCCUCACUUCACCAAGGAAAAAUAUUUCAACCAGAUGAUUCAAUUUACCCACAAGAAAUAUGCAUUUUAUACCCAUAUUUUUUCUCUAAAUUUCUUCCAUAUCACAACCAUUAAAAAUAUAUUUACUUCAAGAAUUUUUUUUUUUGAAAAAUAUACUUCUUAGCCAGAAGGAUGAAAUAAUUAAUUUACCAGGUUCGCUCUGAGAGACCUCAGGGUAUGGUUUAUGAGGAAGGAGCACAUCUUUUGGAGCUGAAAGAAAAAGAUUAUAAAACACUGCAUACUCUAAAUAACCCAACUGGAGUGAGCUUAACCCACAGAUAUAAAAAUCCCAGAAAGCAUGAAUGAAGCAAAAGUAUUUUUACAAUGGUUAAUGACCAAAGUUGAGAAGAUGCCUGUUUUCUUCAAAAUGGAAAAAUGUUACCGUGCAGGGAAGGUUCUGGUGGCAGUGAAACAGAAACGAAGUCAGUCACAGUUCAUUUUGAAGUCUUCCUUGAGGAAGAGGAGGAGAUAGCUAACAUAAUUAAACAAUGAGGUAGAGCUCCCUCAAGUGGCUUUCAAAAUAGAAAGUCAGUUUUUGCACAAAGUGGUUAGCUGCUGUUUGAUAUUCAUGCUUAAAGUCCACUAACAGCAACAAAAAAUAUGUAUCUUAGAUAAAGUACAAAAGUGGCUACAAAUUGGGGGAAACAAUAAGAAAUGGAAAAAUCUUGAAUAUGUAAGAAGAUAACACAGUCUUAUUCUAAAUGGCACUUACCGUUGCUGGGGGGAGAAAAUGAAGCAAAAGGAAUCAGCUAGUCAUUAGAAGAUACCACAUGUAAAGUUAAUGAUAGUGCUUGUUACUUAGUAAAUGAUAGCUGUUGCCAUUUUUGUCUUCUUUAGUGAUGUGGCUUCCAGUAUAUUAGGUGUCAAGCAUGCUUGACAUAAGCAUAUGAAAACAAGACAAAAAUGUCAGCUGAACAAUAGGCCUACUCGUAUAUGCAGUGCCUGAAAUCCAGUAUAUUUUUUAAUGUUUGUGUUCUAUUUUAGCAAAAUUAAACAGUAGAUUGGAAACUUGGUACCGUAUUUCUCAGUGGGGAAAAUAUUAGGGUGAUUUGUCUAUUUGUUAGUACCAGAUUUCUGCAACAAAAUCUCAUUCCACAAAUAGUGUAAAGUACUUCAACUCAGUUUCCCCACAAACCUACCCAGGCCUACUCUCUCAAUGAAAGGUUUUCCUACCACACUAAACCUUUCAUACACACCAGUGUCUUUUUGUCAGGCAAUGUAAUUUCCUUGCAUCUUAUAUAAUGCUGGAAAAAAAAUUAUGAUUCAGGCUAGAACUCUGCCUCAGAAGAAAGAUGAAGAAACUGUUUUUUUUUUUUUUUUUUAUUAUGAGGUGGCCAAGCACCACUUUACCAUUAGUGGAGAAAUAGGUUAUAUAAAAUGAACAAUCUCUUUUUAUUGUUUUUGGGAAUCAUGUUUAACUUGCAUGCCACAUCUGUUCUUAGACUAGGCUGCUAAGUAUUAGUGAAAUUACAAUUGUGAAAACUGGUACACUGAACAGAAACUUGACUCAGAACUUUUAUGAGCUAAAAGGUAACAUCCAAGGGAAUUUGAAAAUAUGGAUUGUUUUCUUAAAGAAAAAAGGAAACUUUAAAAAGAUUAGUGGUUGAUAAGGUAGAGAAAGCCCACCACAAUAGUGAACAUUUUGCUUUUGCAUGUGGUUUUUUUUGGGAUUCAAAUAGUAACAUAUGAGAAAUUUCCAGCUGUAAAUGAAACAAAAUGUUUAUCUUGAGGCUGAAGAAGGCACUUUGAUUUAGCUCUGUGAAGGCCAUGAACAUUCAAAGCAGCCUUUAGUUUAUAAAUACUCUAAUUAGUUACAGUACUACACCAAACAAAAAGGAGCUGGGAUUAAGGAAAGGAGAAGCUGAGAAGAGAUGUGGUACUAAUAAAUCCACCAUACUGUAAAUACAUUAUUCACUGCUGCUCUAGUUUACUGAGGAAUUUAGGCUGGGGUAAUGUGGAUUCCAGCUGCUAAAAUUGGCACUUUUCUUUUUAACCGUGAAGUGAUGAUUUAAUAAACUGUCAUAGCAGACUUCCUAAGCAGGUGAAAUCAGUGGAAAGGAAAGAAAUAGAAAUAUUUACAGGAAAGUAAUAUGAAUCAUUCUCCUACUUGGUCAACUACAGCUCCAAGAAAUUCAAGUUGUUUUUUCUUUUUUUCCUAUGUGGCAUUCCUCUGUAUGUUAAAUUGAACAAGAGCACGGUCCCUAAAACGUACAUCUUUCAUGCUGGGAGAAACUCAUCAAUGAAAAUAAUGAUGACAAUUUUCUGAGAAAGCAGUUUUGAUUUCUUUAUAAUAAUAUUUACUAUUAUUAUAAUUUUAGAUUUAAUUAUAUUAACCAACUUAUACCAUUUAUACUAACCAAUCUGUCUUUUUGAAUAAAGUGUGCCACUCCAAAGAAAAGCCAACACAAGUAGGAAUGCACAAUGUCUGUCAUAGAUAAACGUAAAUGAAUGUGCAUGAAUGUUUUGAUAGAGUUAGAAAAUAAUUAAUGUGUUUGCUUUUGAUAAAAUUAGAAUAUGAAGUCUGCAAUAAGGUUUACCCUGGCAAUAGGCUACAAAGAGACUGAUUCUCUUAAAAAAGUAAGACAUAUAGACUACAUACCAUAUUCUAUUCCUUUAAUCUAUACUCUCUAUUCCUUUAUUCUAACCUUGUACCAUUAGGUCCAGUCUGAGUCUGAGAGGAAGCCCCGUUGGAGGCUACCUGCUGGCUUUCCCUGUGCUCUUGGGCCACCCUCCCUUCUAUCUCAUUUGAGGCCUUUUACUUUCCAUUAUUUCUGUUAUAUUUUUCUCUAUUUGUCCAUGUUUUCAUUUCUCCAUGUUACUUCCCCUCUACCUACAAAACAGCUCGAAUGCUCUAAUAUCUUUAAAAAAAAUCAUUUCCUUGACAUGGCUUCUCCUUCAAACAAUCCCUCUCUCUUGCUCUCAUUCCUUUAAUAAAAAAACUAUAUAUCUGCCUUGGCUUCCUCACCUUUUAGAUGUAUUUUCUUCAUCCACUGUGGUCCAGCCUCCACUCAUUUCCUGCAACAGUGCCUUCAUCAUAUUCUUAGGUCCAGAAACUCUGAAAGCUGAGUUUUCUCUUAAUCUAUUCAAUAGCAAAACAUAACUUGUACUGAUCUAAGGGCUGUUUAUAGGUUUUAGUUAUUCUGCUUGGGAAGACUAUUCAUACUGCUCACUGAAUACAUAUUAAUGUUUCUAAUCAAUGGUAUAUGUACUCACGUAAGUUUCUAAAAUCUGGAAACUGCUAAUUCUGAAGCAUGCAGCCCAAAGGUUUCAGAGAGUGGGAUUCUGGGCAUGCACAGUCAAGCUGGCAGCCUCUUCUGACCCCUCUCCAUCUCAUUGCCACUGCAAUGCCAUUGCCAACCUUCUCUUCUUAGGCCUUUUCCUGCCUCAUCUCCCAACUCCUUUCCUGAUUCUCUCUUAUCUUUUUUGACAACAUCUGGAAGCUCUUUUUCCUGUGCCUACUCCUUGAAUAUAACUAUGCUGCCUAAAUAUUGGAUUUCCGGUUUCUUAUUUUCUCCAUCUAUAUUUUCUCCUCUAUGAUAUUAUCCAACAUUUAAGAACUAUCUAGAUGUAAACAAACAGCUCCUAAAUCUCUGCCCCAAAUCCUGACUUCUGUUUAGAAGUCCAGAAAACAUCUUCAACCAUCAGUUAGGGUCUUCCCACUCAAAGUCCUACUGGUCCUGCAAGGCUAGCAUGUACACACCCAUCUUUAUUCCUCUCUCUAUUCCCUGUUUCAGUUAACGGCAUCAUUAUCUACUAGUUGGCCAGUCUAGCAAUAGCAUUGUCACCCUUCUCUCCAUAACAGCAUUCAGUCAUUCUCUAGGUCUUUGUAGUUCCAUAUCCAAAAGCAUUUUCAGCAUUAUUCCCUUAGUUUCCUUUCUACCACAAUUAGUUCAAUUUCUCAGACUUAUCUUUCUAGAUUGUUGCAAACCUACUAAGUGAUUCCUGGCUAUUAAUCUUUUUUUUUUUUUGCCUGUUAAUAUUCCAUUUAAAAAAAUCACAGCCAUCUUUCUAAAAUACAGAUGUAAUUAUAUCACUCCCAUGAUUACAAAAAGAAACACACACAAUUUUAAUGUCUCCUAAUUGUCUAAAGAAAAAAAAUUUGAAGUGCUUAGCAUAACCUAAAAGCCUUCAAACAUAUGAAUCCAAUUUACAUUAAGUCUUCAUCUCUCAAUAAUCUCAUCAUAUGGCCAGGAAUGUAGUCAUUCUGAGUCAUGCUGUUUCUCAGCUAUAUGGAGCACGGAGUCUCACUCUGUCA